This is a long non-coding RNA of Hirundo rustica (Barn swallow), 505 nucleotides long. RefSeq lists it as uncharacterized. The record is from RefSeq and is a predicted model, not a curated record. The transcript has 4 exons. Lineage: Eukaryota; Metazoa; Chordata; Aves; Passeriformes; Hirundinidae.
AGGGCAGCAUCCCGCCUCCCGCCGCGCCUGCCGCCAGCCGCGCAUCGCGCCCGAUGUUCCCAAUGACCGUGCCCGCUCCCUGCUCCUCCGGCACCGAGUAAUUCAGGUUCUUCAGGGACAGGGCAGGAGCCCAGCAGAAGAAGAAGCAACAAAUGGAAAGGUGGCCCCUUGCAAACAGACGGUCGCCAGUCUUAGCCAGACAGCACGCGGAGCGAACGCCGAUCCCCGAUAAACCAGAUCCAUUUCACCAGCCGCCCGCAGGUUACAACAAUCCAUUGAUACCGACAACAUGCGUGGACUACUUAGAGGGAAAAUAAAAUCUGAAACACUAGCGCUGGAUCUUCAAACCUCUGACUGAGUGCCAGGUGAUAAUAAUGAAUGAAACUCCUUGCUCUACAAGUCACUUUGGUUUUGUGGUGUUAAGUUCAGCAGAGCUGCAUUUUAAUACUCAUUCUCAGCCUACAAGAUAAAUACUUUCACAGAGAAAGGAGCCUAAAAUAGCAUG